CGGGGUGCACCAGGCGCGAAAACUUUACACUGCGGGAAACCGCGAUAAGGGGACCCCGAGUGCCAGCACCUAGUGCUGGCUGUCCCGCUGUUCAAAAAACAGUGGUUAGCAAGGGCCGGGCAAGACCGGUGCCAGCCGCCGCGGUAACACCGGCGGCCCGAGUGGUAGCCGUUAUUAUUGGGUUUAAAGGGUCCGUAGCCGGCUUAUUAAGUCUCUUGGGAAAUCUGGCGGCUUAAUCGUCAGGCGGCCAAGAGAUACUGGUAGGCUUGGGACCGGGAGAGGUGGGAGGUACUCCAGGGGUAGGGGUGAAAUCUCGUAAUCCUUGGGGGACCACCGAUGGCGAAGGCAUCCCACCAGAACGGGUCCGACGGUGAGGGACGAAAGCUGGGGGCACGAACCGGAUUAGAUACCCGGGUAGUCCCAGCUGUAAACGAUGCUCGCUAGGUGUCAGGUGCGGUGCGACCGCAUCUGGUGCCGCAGUGAAAACUUGAAGCGAGUCACCUGGGAAGUACGGUCGCAAGGCUGAAACUUAAAGGAAUUGGCGGGGGAGCAC
RNAcentral lists this ribosomal RNA (553 nucleotides) under uncultured archaeon. RNAcentral's name for it is "bacterial SSU rRNA". It matches the Rfam family "Archaeal small subunit ribosomal RNA", at positions 326 to 879 of the family's 1478-position model. The record is from RNAcentral.